AUUUAUUUGUAUAGGUUAACUUUCCUAGAACACUUUCUUGGAUUCCUUUCAACUUUUUUUUAUAUUUGAGCCUGGUUGGGAAGGGUGUAAUCACAUUAUCUCCACUGUGUUGUUUCACAUAACCCUCCUUUUGAUGUGAUGUUUUGUUUGAAAUAGUAUCAUAAUUUGGACCACUCCUAUCUGUUCCUCACCAAUAGUUUGUUAUUUGUUUAUUCAAUUUCAAACUUUUGAGUAAAAUUAUUGAAUUUAGAUUUAUUGAAUUGAAUUCGUCGAUUUCCAGUCAUUUCACUUAUCUAAGAUCAUUCUGAUUCAUAAUUCUGUUUUCUGUGCUAUAAAUUCUUCAAGUUUUAUAUUACCCACCUAUUUUCAGAAUGUCUUCCCUAUGCAUGAUAUUUUUAAAAUGAAAAUUUGGAACAGUACUGGUCAAGAAAAAACAACCUGGGCUGGACUCAGUUGACAUGUUCUCAUAACUCACAACCCAUUAUUCAUGACUCCUCUUUCAAUGUUUUGAAAAUAUCUGUUCUCUCACUUAAUAAUAGAUAAAUCAUAUUUCCUUAGUUUAGAGACGAGAGCAUCCUGUGUGACUAUGUAAAAAAUUUUGUUUAAUAUAUCAGUCCUCUCUUCCCAUUCUCUGAGGUAAUUACUUUUAUGAGAAGGUAACUAGUUUGCUUUGACAUGAGUUGUGGUGGAAACUUGCAAAACAGCUGCUUCCUAUCACUGAGUUAUUCUACAGAUGCUCUUAGAUUGUUUAGUAAUGAAUUAAACAAAAUACUUCUACUGAUACCAGAGUUCAGCUGUUUUAUGUUUUCUCAACUACGGCAUUAGUAUUUUUUUCAGUUCAUUUCUGCCUCACUUGGCCUUCAUGAGCUUUUGAUGAUAAUCACUAAAAUGUGUAAGUGAACCGGCUAGUGUUAUGAGGAUCUUAUCAGAUCUUGAUGGUAUGAACAAUGAACAUCAAUGAACAUUAUUUAAUUCUUUUUUAUUUUUUUAAUUUUUCUACUUUUCUGGCCUAUGUUCCCACCUUUGCUUGUAUUGCUUGUAAGUAGUAGUAAGGAUAUGGUCACAAUAAACCUCUUUUUGUGAUGGUCAAAGCAACAAAUUGUAUACAAAACUUCAAUUACAAUCUGUAAUCAACACGGCUGUAAUGAGACAUCUUGUUACUUUGUUUCUCCAAAAAAGAUGUCAGAUAAAUCUUUUUUUAUCCAUUUUCAAAGCAAAAAAGCAAGGAAUGUUUUAGUUUGUUUUUGUUUUGUUUUGUUUUCCCCAUGGAAACAGCAGGACUUAUUUUGAUUAAUCAAGUAAAAAUUGUGAAACCUUCUCAAAUCAAGAGCAACAACUCAAUCUCCCAUCACCUCUCAAAAAUGGGAAAGGAAUAAGCUCCACUGGCCUUGAAUGCAUGGCUCCUGCUUGUUCUGAAAGAUGAAUGAGGGAUUCUGAAUAAAAGAAUUAGUGAAGUAUAAUGUCCUCAAAGUAAUGUGAAUUUUUAAUUGAUUUAUUUAAUGUGUCUUCAUAUAAUUACGGAAAUAUAGGAAGAAAUUGUGAUUUACAUUAUUAGACCUAUGACUGCCUUCAUUUAAUUAAUAUUUUAACAUAUGGAAUGUCAUCCAGACUUAGGCCUAAGAGCAGCAGAACAUACAGCCAAACACUGCCUGAAUAUGAAACAUGUUCAUCUGAUCUUUGUUAAGCUGUAGUGAUAUUUCUUUUGGAAGAGAAUUGUGUUUUGUAUGCCUCUCACUUAUAAUACUCUUUCAUGAAAGGUUAAAGGUAAACAUAAUGGAAAUUACAACACAUAAAAAAAUGUGACAUUGAAUUCUGAAGAAACUUUGCAAGCAUUCAGGUCUUGACCUGAAUAAAGAAUUCUAAAGCCAAAUCUUUUAUUUCUUAUGCCUCCAAAACUUCCACUGGCAGCAAAUUCUGGAUUCAUGAAUCACACAUUAUCAGAUACUUCAUUUCAUCCCAACAGAUGAAACAUUUUAUUUUAGAUUUUUGUUUUUUGCAUAAUGGAAUAAUCUAGAAGUCAUUCAGUAUCCAAGAAUAUUUCUAAAUUCAUUUAAAUGGUAAAUGAAGAUUAAAGAGAAAAAUGAAUAAAAGUGCCUGAUUUUGAUUGAAUGUUGCCAUGAGAACUUCAGUCCCUUUAAAAUAUAUAUACAUUAUCAAAAAUGAUAUUACCAUUUUACAAGAACUACUUUAAAAUAAAGUUUUAAAAUUAAGCAGAGUAACUAAAGACAUACUUAAUGUGUGACACGUUCAAGGAAACUGGCAAGAUUAGAAAAGACCAUGUCAAUGAUCUUGCUGAAGUUGUUGAACACUUGUCCAUUUCUUCUUCAUUAGCUCCAUACCGAGCAGCAACUUCCUUGUGACAUUUUUAGACAUAUUCUCCAACUUAAGUUGUGAUUUGCUAAUUUAGUGACCAAGGAUUUAAAUCAUAGAAAAAAAAAUAAGAUAUAAUUAAGUGCUAUUUAUUUGAGUAACAGAGGUGCAACUUCAGUACAUCAUGCUACAAAACCCAACGUUUUACCCUGCACCGACUUACAAGUAAAUCCUAUUCAAUAUUUUUCUCAUUUAUGUGAUAAUUAUCGUUUAAAUUUUUAGAAAAGAUAAAUAUUUGAAUACAUUACUACCAUCAUGUUGUAAUCAACAACAACAAAAAAAGAAAGUUUUUUUUUCCCUCAUCGUUGCUUUAAAACAUGAGCAUAAAUCUUACAAUCAAUCAGAAGUUGAGGACUUCAGGAAUACCUCAAGAAUCCAUAUGUUCUAAACUUACUCAAAAUUCUGAGUGGAAACGUGGGCAUAUUCAGCUACUUGUAGCAAUUAUUUCAACAGCAAAAUAUAUAAAUCUUAUUAAAAUUAAGUAAUUACCCAAAUAACCGUCCUUGAUUGGAAGAAAAGUAUUUAAGUAUUUGUAUGUAAAUGUAUCCUGAAUUAUAUAUAACAGAAACACUGUGUUUUCAUAAGGAAAUCAUGUUUACAAAGAAAAAGAAUAUGUAUAACAAUAUAUGAAUUCUGUUUUUCUGAUUUAAUUUUAUAUUCUCAGUGUCUGAAAGUCACUGUUUCCUCAAAAAAUAAACAAAAACCAACAAAUACAAUUUUUGGAAAAUAUUUUUUAUUAUAAAAUGUACAGUAUAUUGACCUUAACAUUAUAAAACACUGUAAUGUAUCAGAGUCUUGUAAAGACCAAUAAUUUAUAAAAUGAGACCAAAUUCAUUGUUACUCUUUCUAGUCUCAUAGUCUGAUUUAAAAAUAUAUAUAAAAUAUAUAAUGGAUGAUUUGACUGGAGCAUCCAUAGUAGCUGGAAAAGGUGUGUUCGUAUGUUAUGGUAAUUAAUGUCUGCAUGUAAUUUUAUUAAAAUAGAUCACUCUUAUUUGCUAAAUUAGUCUUUGAUUUUGAAGAGCUGAUAGGAAAACGAAAAGUUAGUAAUCAUAUUCUAUAAGGCUAGAUUAUGUAAAAGCGCUGCAGGGGAUAAAGAAAAGUAUGUUUUUCCAAAAUACUAAAGCACUUCUAUCACUGCAGCUCAUUUAUUAACAGUUAAUACUUCUUUGGUGCUUUUAAGGUGCUUGUUAAAACAUGGGAUAGCUUUGGACUAUUGACAAAAACAGAGUACUUCAGGUCUCAAAUGCUACUGGAUAGUAUGAAAAAACACAUCACAUUGUCUUAACAAUUUAAAGACCUUUUCCACUGUGUUAAUUUAGAUACAUCUACUGCCUCCUUCCAUUGCAGGGAAGUACUAUUAUGUAGAGUACAAAAGCAAUGCAUUUUGCAUGAAAACAGAAAUAAUUAAUUUUUUUUCUGCCAUCAGCCUUCCUGGCUUUGUUGGAAACAGUACUUUCCUUGCACUCGCUUGGCAGUGACUGGAACUCUAGCACUCAGCCAAAGGCAUUUGUUUUAGUGUUAGAAUAUGUGUAUGUAAGUUGUUUUCGAAUCACUGCCUAGUAUAUUUUUAGCAGUGCAUUUAUAGAAGCCUGCAUCCCUUUGAGAAGACUGCUGGAUGACUAAUGACCCCUGAGGGUGGAGGAAUUUGUUUCCAUACAGACGGGAUUGAGCUCCUGUUGUCAGAUGAGAUUUGUCUGGAAGCUCCCAUGUUAUUUCUGCUUUAGGAAUCCCAAUGGCCAUACAGUUCAGUUUUACUGAAUUUCCAGGCCUGGCAUAGAUGACAGGUGCUGGCUCACUAGUAAUCCGGGGUGGAUAGGCUAUCACAAUGACAGGCACGUUCAUAAUAGAAGUGCCGUAGUCACUGGACACCUUGCACAGGUAUGUGCCCCUGUCAAAAACAGAAGCUUCACGCACUGUCAGUGAGCCAUUCUCCAGGAGGGAGAAGCGACCCACAGCCUGGGGAGCAUCCAGGACCAUCCCAUUGGGCAGUGUCCAGGAGAUCUGCGCCCGCUGAUUUGGCUGGGUGAUGCAAUGGAGCUGCAGAGUUUCUCCAUUGAUGAUGCUCACCAGGUUGUUAUACUGGUUGCUGAUUUCUGGCCUGAGUCCUACCUUCAGGAAGACUACCCGUUCCACAUAACCACCUGGGUUUCUGGCUGUACAGCGGUAGGUCCCAGCAUCCCCUGUGGAAAGACCACUGAUGUGUAAGAUUCCAUCCCGCUUAUGGUAAAAUCUGUGCAGACGGUUGCCACUCAGCACUUCUGUGCCAUUGGGAAGGAUCCAACUUGUGGUGGGCUCAGGGUACCCCUGAACUGAGCAGUUCAGAUUGAUGCUGUGCCCAGCAAUGGCAGUUAUCCUUUCGUUGACAGGGUCCCUGAAGGAAGGUUUCUCCAAAUGGUCUGUGAUGACGAGCUGCACAAUCAAUCUUGCUUCACCUCCUUCAUUCCGUCCAAUGCAUACAAGCUGCACUGCAUCUGUCUGCCUCACCCCUCUGAUGUCCAAAGUACCAUUGCGAUGCACAGUGAUCCUGUUUCCAUAGUAGGGGGCUGGCAAGAUUACUCCUUCUGGAAAAGCCCACAGGACCCGUGGAGAUGGAAUGCCUUCAGCUUUGCAGUCAAUAAGUUUCCUGCUGUCCCUGCUGGCUGUCUCCCUUACAGAAGUUAUUGCAUUGAGAUGCCCAUUGAUUCUGGGAGGUUGAACAUUAACAUGGAUCCAUACUACUUUCCGAUCUUCUCCAGCACUGUUCCGCACUACACAAGUAUAGUUACCACUGUCAGAUCUUUGUGCCUUUUGGAUGAGGAGGGUGCCAUCCCUAUAUACCUGGUAUUUUUCAGAUAGAGUAGGAAUGGGCCUGUUGGUUGGGGAAAGCCAAGUUACUUUGGGAGUAGGUUCUCCUUUGGCUUCACAUGCUACUGUGACAACAUCACCAUAGGGUACAUUAAUAAUGACAUAGGUUUUGUUUCGGAUAGUUGCAGGUUCAGCCACUACUUUGACCCUUACUUUCAUCUCAUCCUUCCCAAUCUGGUUCUCAGCAUAGCAGGUGUAGUCCCCUUCUUCUCUCAAUCCAACGUCAUUGAAAUACAGGGUUCCAUUAUUGAAGACCACGUAUCUCUUCGUCCGGCUGCCACUGUCAUCUGACUGCAUGAAGGUAUUGAUCAUGCUGCCAUCUGGCAGACCCCAGGAGAUCUCAGGAUUUGGUAGACCAGUAGCUACACAGUCAACUUUCAGGUCACCUCCAUACUUGACCUUGUGGUUAUUCUCAUUCUUGUGUUCUAUUUUUGCUGGUUUCAUCAUCACAUUUACUUUCAGGACCACAUAGUCAUCCCCAAUCUUAUUGCGAGCCACACACAAAUAAUCUCCUGCAUCUUUAUCUGUAACUGAAUGGACAACCAAAGUCCCAUUGCUGAAUACUUUGAUCCUAGUCUCCAAGUUACUGUGCAGUGAAUCAAUCAUCCUUUUGGAAGGUAACCUCCAUAGUAUCCGAGGCCAUGGGUCACCAGAAGCACUACAGUCCAAAUGCAGGAUGCUGCCAUACGUUACAUCUGUCCUCUGAGGAGAGCUCCCAGUGAUCUUAGCAUUAGAUGCUUGUUUCUUCACAUGAAGUUGUAUUAUUCUCCUGGCAGCUCCCACCAUGUUGGCAGCAAUGCACUCAUAGAUCCCACUGUCCUUGGGGGAGACAUUGCGAAUAUAAAGAGUUCCAUUGGGAAAAACAAAUAAAUUCCCAUUGACAAACUGGGAAGGUCGAAUCUGUGUGCCAUCAAAGAGCACCCAACGGAUGCUGGGCGAAGGUGCUGCUUUGGCAGUGCAGUGGAUAUUAAUGCUGCUACCAAGGGGCAAGGAAAUAUUCUCUUGUUUAUCCUGCUGAAUGAUGGGAGGUAAGGCUGCAAUGUGGAGCCUCACUGCGAUGCUGUCAGCUCCUGCAGCAUUGCUAGCUACACAUUUGUACACUCCCCGGUCUGAAAAUGUUGCUUGCUUGAUAGAUAAGGUUCGAUUUUCAUGAAGCAUUAUCCUGCUUUCUGUAGUAGUGACUGUCUGCAAAAUCUUCGUAUCUGGGAAAAUCCAUGAGAUGUGUGGACUCGGAGUCCCACUAGCCUGACAUUCCAGUGCUAUGGUAUCUCCAAAAUAGACAGUGACAUCUUGGUAGCGGGAAAGUAAAAUUUUGGGCUGAUGGGCUACAACUGUGAGCGCAAAAAUCAUUUUAUCUAUGCCAUGCAGGUUCUGAGCUGUGCACAAAUACUGUCCACGAUCCUGAAGCUGAGCAUUUCGGAUAAGGAAGGUACCAUUUUUCAAGACUUCAAACCUUUGUAACCUUGUGUGGGCUGUCAUUAGUGCUCCUGUAGAGACUUUCGUCCAAGUAAUAAAAGGCUUUGGUUCCCCUACUGCAUCACAAGGGAUAAGAGCAUCUGUUUCAGCAAGGAUAGAUAUGCUCUGAGAUCCUUUUGUGAUAAUUUUAGGCCUUUCUCCAGGUGUCCUGAAAUUGCUUGAAGAUUGAAUUAUAGAUAAAUUGUGUGAUGUAAUCCCUCCCACAUAAGGCACAGAUGGAACUUUUUGAUGAUACUGGGCAUUUUUAAGAGGCUGAAAAGGCUGAACUGUAGUGGAUAUCUGGGGUCUUCUGCUCUGAGAGAAAAAGGCUGGAGGGGUUACCUUCAAAAUCACUGCUGGCGGUGAUAUGGUGGUUGUGGUAUGUGAAGGCACUGGAACAGCUGUAGCUUUCUGCACUGUAAUCCGAGGAGGGGAGACUUGGGCAACCUUCUUCUCGUUCAUGUCUUUUGGGACUGGUUGACCAGGGACCACAGGUUUAGGAUGUAUACCUAAGUGAGGUAAAAUCCUUGUUCUGUUGAACAGGAAUGGCACUCUGGAACUGGGAUAAUAGGGUAUCUCUUGACUUGGUAGUCUCCCUGCUGUGCCUCUGUUAUCUGGAACAUAGUUACUACCAAAAAAUCUUGAAUUAAUAUUGUAUCUAUUCUGACCCUGAUGACUAAACUUGCUUGUAGGGAACGUAUUUGUUCUGUGAAAUGGAGUAGCUUGUGUUGGGGUAGUUGUCUCUCUCUGAGAGGCAAAAGAUUUUUUGUCCUGGAUGGUAUGUGCUGCAUAUGCUGUUAUCUCUGGUUUGUUUGUAUAGUGAAGAGGCUGAUGUGUUAUAAAAUAACGAAAUGAACCUUGUGUUACAACAUACGGAGGCUUCACUGUGCCUCUUACUGGAACAUGCUUUGGAGGCACAAUUGGCAGUCUUUGAUUUAGACUUGGUAUCAUUCCAGGGGGUGGACGGGGAAGGUUUGGAUUUAGCAAUAAACUGUUGUUUGAUCUGCUACUGUACAUCUCUUUGAACUGUUCCUCUUUAGACUGUAUGCUAAUACUGUUUUGGCUAGAGAAGGGAGUAGGGGGUACAUUCUGUCUUGAGCUCACCACCAUUCUUUCACUUUCUGCUUCAACUUGUUUUACAGAUGGCAACCUUUCUUGAUUGAAGGCAUUAUCGCCUUUGGUAGUAUAAUGAAUAGAAUGAUGUAAAGUGCUUGAAAGAGUAGGUGGUUUUGUAAACGGAAUAAAGACGUGUGUAGUCUGAGGCUUUUCAGAUGUCUGCAAAAUGGGAUCGUGAUGAAAUACAUUUGAUAUUGUUUCCUUCUUAUCCAAGGAAGAUGUUUUUGCCCCAGUAUGAGACACAAUAGAUAUUUCUGUUUCUGGAGGUGGAAAACUUUGAGUUUCCAUUGUGCUGAAGGAGGAAGACGAAGACAUGAUUUCUUGUUGCUGGGGUGGCUCUGUUACUGCUGGUGUUUUUAAAAAUACUGUGGGUUUCCAUAACCCCUCUGAAUCUGAGACAUCUUCAAGAACUUCCAGUGUGUCAGAAGGAAUACUUAAAUCUGUCACAGUAGGAUACAUUGGCUGGAAUGUUCCAACAGUGGUUUCAUUAGCCACAACAUCUGACUCAAAAGUGAUGGUUUCUUUUUGAGAUUCUGGGUAACUGGAUUUUGUAGAUGAUGUCAAGCUGCUCCAAUACUCUGUGGUAGCUGGACUUGUUGGUUCGGCCUCACUAUCUGGAGCUUUAGAAUCUGCUUUAAGGCUCCUCUCUUCAGAUACAUUCUCUAAUGAGUCAAAUGUUUGCAUUUUAUUUUGCUCUGGAGUCAGAGGUGCACUUGACUCUUUUGUGGGAACUGUGUUAUGAGCAACAUAUGAUGACAAAACUGUGAUGGGUUCAGUCACUGGAAGUACAAAGGUUUCAGGAGAAGCAGAGUGUGUCAUAUAUUUUUUUUCAGGUUGAGAAGUAGUUGGGCUAAAGAAAGAAGUUGUGACCACCUCUUCAGUUUUGGUCAUUUUCUCUAAUACAACUGGAUUGGUAACUAGUGAAGGAGUGAUUUCUCUGUGGUCCUCUUCCUUAGCCUGUAUUCUGACAUUGCUUUUAAGAUCAGGACUUUCAAGUACUGCAGAGAAAGCUUUGGUCACAGCUUCAACUUUAGAUGUUCUUGGAAUAUUAGGCAUCGCCUCUGUAGUUAGAACAACACGGGGGACAGGUUUUGUUCUUUGUCGGAUUCUAUUUGGUCUCAGUCUCCUUCUCCCAUAAGGCCUUUUCCUAGCAUGCUGAGUAACUAGUGAAGGUGCUGUCUUCCUAUAGGGUGUUGAUGUUGUGGCAGCAGUGGUCAAUUUGCUGGUGGAAAUAGCAGUUAUCACCUCUGUUUUUUUGUGAGGAACAUUCGUACUUGGUGAAAUGAAUGUGGGAUCUGUUUUUGAAGCAGACAGGUUUCUCUGUUCUCUCUCCUGAAAGCUCUCUAUGUAAGUGCUGGACAUGCUUUCUUGAGUCACUGUACUCCUGUGGGUCUCUGAUUCCUCCUUGCUCUGGACCUUGAUGGAUAUAACAGCGUGAGAUGUUGUACUUAAAUCUGCUAUUUUUGUCUGAGCAGUGGAUACACCUCUGUGUUCAUGUAUGAAGUCACUGCUUUUUACUGUAACAGAUGAAGAAAUGGCAGUGGCACCUACAGAAUCUGUUGGGAUGAUGUCACCCAGCUGAGAAGGUGCUAAAAUUAUAUUGUCAACACUCAUUUGAUCCAUUUCAUUUAAUCUCUCUUCUGUCUCCAAGACACUAUGAAGAUCUACAGUCUGAGAUUCAGCUAGUACAGAAGCAUCAAGUGGUAGCUCAGCAAAAGCAGAAUUUUCCUCUGACUUAGAAGAUACAGUUGCAUCUACAUGUUCCACUCUGAAUGAACUACUCUGAAUAUUAAGAUAGUUGGUCAUUGUUUCUUCGGUCAAAGGUUCUUCAGUGACAGCAUGAAUAUUUUCUUUGACUACAACUGAAGAAUCAGCCCUGCCAUUCUGAUGCUGCUGGCCUUGGGGCUGCACAGUUGCAAGAAUAGGACCCGAUACAGGGAUUUCUACAGAGUGUACACUUGCAGGUGUUUUUAAAGCUCUUUGGUCAUAGAAGUGUUCAGUUUCUCGUCCUGUUAUUGUGGACCAAGCUGAAAAUGCUUUACUGCUGUGGGAAACAGUGACUGAGAAUGGCUCAUUUUCACUCAGUGUUGAUGCAUCUGCAGAAGAAUCUACUACAUCAGCUGUUGUCUCUGAAUGCAGAGGGAUGGCUACUGUAUGAGGGACAGGAGUAGUUUUCUGCACAUCUGGUGGCAAUGUAGUUGCUAACAAAAUGGCUGUAGCUACAGUUGUUCUAGGAAGGUUCUUCCCACGGACCUUUGCCAAAAUGUCAGCCCAGUGCUGUGGAUUAAUCUGUUUGCUUGCCAUAUUAAUUCUCCUGCGAGAUUCAAACGCUCUCCGGCCUUCUGCAACAUUGCUGUCUUGGGUUCUAUCAGUACCUUUCCAAAUUUUCAUUUUUCUUCUGCCUUUCUUUCCCUUUUUAAUUUGAGCUUCCAGCAUCUGGUCACUUUUCUGUUUAAAGGGUAUCUCCCUGUCCUUCAGGUGGUUCUUUCUUCGUGGGAAUUCAUCAGCCCCUCCUGUGCCUGAUCCCUCUCCAUCAUCUAUGACCCGUCCUCUUGUUUUUGAUGAGCUUUUUGAGCGUGUGCGUUUUUUCAGUUUUAUCCUUUUAAAUGACCUGUCAGACACCAUUUUAUUUACUGUUACUCUUACAAUAAACUGAUCUGAUCCCAGCUGAUUGACAGCCACACAUCUGUAAUGGCCACUGUCACUGAUGUGGCUUUUUGGAAUAAGCAAAGUACCAUUGUCCAACACAUAUCCUUUUGAAAAGUUUGACAAAACAUUAAGUACCUGGCUGCUUGGAAGAAUCCAGCUCAACUGUGCCUCUGGGCUGGCAAUUGCACUACAAGGCAAAACUAUAGGAUCUCCAACAUUUUUUUCAACUCUCACUAUAUCUGAGUCAGCUACCUGAAUAGCAGGAGGCUGCACUAGAAGCCUG
Molecule: long non-coding RNA, 10717 nt
Filed under: Gallus gallus (chicken)
Lineage: Eukaryota; Metazoa; Chordata; Aves; Galliformes; Phasianidae
Source: RNAcentral